GAUGAACGCUGGCGGCGUGCCUAAUACAUGCAAGUCGAGCGAACGGACGAGAAGCUUGCUUUUCUGAUGUUAGCGGCGGACGGGUGAGUAACACGUGGAUAACCUACCUAUAAGACUGGGAUAACUUCGGGAAACCGGAGCUAAUACCGGAUAAUAUUUUGAACCGCAUGGUUCAAAAGUGAAAGACGGUCUUGCUGUCACUUAUAGAUGGAUCCGCGCUGCAUUAGCUAGUUGGUAAGGUAACGGCUUACCAAGGCAACGAUGCAUAGCCGACCUGAGAGGGUGAUCGGCCACACUGGAGCUGAGACACGGUCCAGACUCCUACGGGAGGCAGCAGUAGGGAAUCCUCCGCAAUGGGCGAGAGCCUGACGGAGCAACGCCGCGUGAGUGAUGAAGGUCUUCGGAUCGUAAAACUCUGUUAUUAGGGAAGAACAUAUGUGUAAGUAACUGUGCACAUCUUGACGGUACCUAAUCAGAAAGCCACGGCUAACUACGUG
RNAcentral lists this ribosomal RNA (497 nucleotides) under uncultured bacterium. RNAcentral describes it as "partial 16S ribosomal RNA". It matches the Rfam family "Bacterial small subunit ribosomal RNA", at positions 28 to 507 of the family's 1533-position model. The record is from RNAcentral.